GGAGGUUUAGCUCAGCUGGUUAGAGCGCCUGCUUCACACGCAGGAGGUCGUUGGUUCGAGCCCAAUAGUCUCCACCA
RNAcentral lists this transfer RNA (77 nucleotides) under Oscillospiraceae bacterium. RNAcentral's name for it is "tRNA-Val". It matches the Rfam family "tRNA". From Rfam's summary of the family: Transfer RNA (tRNA) molecules are approximately 80 nucleotides in length. Lineage: Bacteria; Bacillati; Bacillota; Clostridia; Eubacteriales; Oscillospiraceae. The record is from RNAcentral.